This 334-nucleotide unclassified non-coding RNA is filed under the name soil metagenome. RNAcentral describes it as "partial contains 5.8S ribosomal RNA, internal transcribed spacer 2, and large subunit ribosomal RNA". The stretch from base 1 to 120 matches the Rfam family "5.8S ribosomal RNA", at positions 35 to 154 of the family's 154-position model. The record is from RNAcentral.
GAUGAAGAACGUAGCGAAAUGCGAUAAGUAGUGUGAAUUGCAGAAUUCAGUGAAUCAUCGAAUCUUUGAACGCACAUUGCGCCCCUUGGUAUUCCAUGGGGCAUGCCUGUUCGAGCGUCAUUUGUACCCUCAAGCUUUGCUUGGUGUUGGGUGUUUGUCCUCUCCUUUGCGUUUGGACUCGCCUUAAAGCAAUUGGCAGCCAGUGUUUUGGUAUUGAAGCGCAGCACAAUUUGCGAUUCUAACCGACUACACUUGCGUCCAUAAGCCUUUUUUAACUUUUGACCUCGGAUCAGGUAGGGAUACCCGCUGAACUUAAGCAUAUCAAUACGGAGGA